Lucilia sericata (common green bottle fly) is the source of this 616-nucleotide long non-coding RNA. RefSeq lists it as uncharacterized. Lineage: Eukaryota; Metazoa; Arthropoda; Insecta; Diptera; Calliphoridae. The record is from RefSeq and is a predicted model, not a curated record. The transcript is spliced from 3 exons.
GUUUGUAACGGUUCAUUUGUUUAUGAAACGUUGUUGUUUAUUUUUCUGUGUAAUGUGUAAAUUUGAAAAAAAAGUAAAAACUUGUAAAGAAAAAAUAACAAAGUAUUUUAAUAAUAUUCUAGGGGGAAGAAAAAAUUCAUAGUUUUUUUAUAGUUAGAUUCUCUCACAAAAACAGCAAAUUCACACAUUCAGCUGCAAAGAAAUUGAAACUGAUUAGCAAAACUUACUUUAUGGUCCAACAAAUUUUAAAAACUAAAAGCUGAAGUUAAAAAAAUAAAAUAUUAAAAUUAGUGUGAAAAAAACGAAUUUUCAACAACUGUAAAAAGAGUUCUUAUAAUAAAAAAUAAAAAUAAUAAAAAAUAACUUUACAUCUAUAUUUUGAACGUCAGCGUCAUUAUUUGUUCAUCAUCCGAUGAGAACAUUCGUAUUAUUUAAUUCUUUCUCUCUCAUCGUCUUGUGUGUUCCUUUAAAGCGGAAGUCGGACAGAGGACAACCACACAGAGAAAUAUAAAAGUUCAGCAUAACAAUACGAACAUCCUUCCAAAUAAUCAGCAGAAUUUGAAAAAUUAAUAAUAAAUAAUAAGACGGAGCAACUAUAUGAAAACAACACGUGUAA